CCUAUGAAUCGAAGUCCCAGCUUCGUUGCCGCCGCCGACGUACGAAGUCCUUCGUUGCCGCCGCCGACGUACGAAGUCCUUCGUUGCCGCGAUCUCGUUCGAUCUCCCUGCCGCCGACCCUUCGUUGCCGCCGCCCACGUACGAUCCCCUGCGAUCCCACGUCCGGGAUCGCCACCACCGAUGUAAGGGAUCUUCGCCGCCAAUCUCCCACAGGAACGCCGCCGCCGCCGCCGACCUUCGAGGGGAGAUGCCGUCGCCGCCUGCGCUAAACCCGAGGCGCACGAUGAUGCAGGGGCGCGACCUGGCGACCGUCGGAGCAUGGCGGCGCCCGAUGUGGCGCGGGGUUGAGGAGCUACGAGGGGUGCAGCAGAUCCGGCUGGAGUUGUGCACGUGGUCUGGUGAUGGUGGCCUCCGCCUCCGGACCAGAAUCCGCCACCGCGACCUCUCAUCUAUGCGUCGAGCUCCUCUUCCCGUCUCUCUGGUAUCCGUUGGCGCAACUGCUGCCAUGGCCACAAGCCCGCAAUGAGGACCUCCGCCGCAGCCGUAGCCAUGUUGAGGAGGUCAGUAUUCUUCUGCUAGCUCCGCGCAUGGCAAGCAGGUUGGUUGGCGGCUUCCUUGAACAAGCAGGAACCAUUCCCAUCAGCAGAACAGAGUUUGUUGGCUUUAGCAUUCGGGUCAGUUAACCUAUUUAUGUUUAGGCAAUUCGUUCUCCCAUGUAACCAUUGAUACAAUUUGUAUGUCUUGCAACUCAUGCAGGGUGAGUCACCAAUAGGAAAAGAAAACAUCCGAUUCAGAUGCUAACCUAUGUUUAUUGCUGAUUUCACCUACCACCUGUGUUCAGGCAGAGAUGUAGCCAACCUUCUCUAAUUUUGUUCUUGGAAACCAUGAACGGCCACUGAUGGUGAUGAAAAAAAUAAAGAACGGAAGCAGGUAACUGGACCUAUCUUCAGGCCUGGACUGUUACAUUUUGUCAUAAUCUGUCUUAUUGGUACCUUCCUCUUUGUUUCACAAUGUCAUAAUCUGUCACCAUUGUUACUCUGAAUCUGACCGCAGCCAGACGGUCUUGAUAUUUGCACCAGUCUGUGUGUCGUCUCAGGGGACUGCAAGCACGAGGAGGGUGUCAAGCCCCGGUGCGGCACCAUCAACAACAACACCUCCCAGCUCCUCACUUACGGAUCAUCAUCGCCAUCUUCUAAAUCUUCCUCUUCCUGCCAAUGUAAUGCUCAGUUAGAUUAUACAAACUUAGCAAAUCUCUUUGGUAUACUGACGCGCUGAACAAGAACAUAAUGGUGCUGAAUAGUUCUCAAGAAUUUUUUCGUAUGAUAUGUAUAUACAGUAGCUGGUUCGUCACGUGGUGAACUGCUUUGUAAAUUUGUGAUAUUGUAUUAACUGACGCUGAUUGAUUGAGAGAUUGCAGGGGGUGUGGUCAGACAAAGUGCAGGAAUGGGAGGAGUGCGCCAAGAAUGAGACGGCGUGCCCUGACAUGUACAUAUGCUUGUUCUUUUUUUCAUUUUUUCAAAGGAAAAGGAAAAAAUGUUCACUAAUUAUUCGGUUGUGUAUAAUUAGGAGCGCUUAUUACCUCAAAAAAAUAGGAUCGUGUAACUGUUUAUUUAUGGUACAAAUUAUCAUUUGCCGUUCUAUAUUGCCACAAAAGUUUCUUGAAAAUCACAAAAAGAGGGCCAGUGAUGCUUAUGGGAAGAAGGAAAUAAAAGCACGUAAUGUGACCUACCAUUUUGUUCAUAUUCUUUGUAUUCUUUGAAGUAACUGCCUUUCAGAACUCGAGCGAAUGUGCCUGGAAAUGCAUCCACCCUUCCCUAAGGACGAAGUCCAACACUCCAACCCCGGCUGGUGUACGAUGGGAACAACAGGCUAUUUCAUCACAGACUCACGCAUGAUGAUUUCAGAAGUACAGUUGAAACAUUCUUCUAUAUGUUACCCUCUGCUAUGAGACUGUACUGUUGAAACUGAGCAGCAAAACUUCAUUGAUAAUGCAUUGAUAUAUCUUAUUAGGAUUAUCGUGUCUCAUGUGUUAGCUUAUUAGUUAUGAUAGUGGAAAAUGGUUCGUUUAUUUAACCAACCAUCACACACCCAUUAUUCUGGUGUGUCCAUAUGCAUUUCUUCUUUCUUUAGGCUUGGAACUUUAUACAUGAAAAUAGAUGUUGGCCAGAGUUAGGGUUGCUCUACUAGGCACAUCUUAUUUCAAUGAGUAUCUAUAGUUUCAGCUCAUUAGCUUGUGAUUUUCUCUAAAAUAAAGUAUGGUACCAUGUCAUGUAAUGAAUGUAAUAUUGGUUGUUUUUUGUUGUUCCUUUCCUUAGACAUCUUUCCUCUUCAGUGAUUUACUGCAAAAGUAUUAUUGAUCUCCUAUGUCGAGUGUCGACAAAUAAGCAAUUUCAAUGCCUUUCCAGUGAUGAAUCUCAAUGAAGUGGAAGGAGAGAACAUGAUCUCGGUAAAGAUAUUGUACAAUUUUUUUUGUAGAGCAAUAGCAGAUUUUAUUGCUUAGUUUUUAUAUUCUCUUUCGAAUGUAUUUUUACGCAUUAUUGACUUGGAAUAGACGACAUCUCACAAUCAUGUUUGAAGUAACUCUACAAAAAUCAUAACAUGGUUGCCUGUUGUUGUCCAGUACAUUAUGUUCCAUUUUCUCCAUAAUUAUGCUCCCUUUAUGUGUGGUUCUAUUCUGUUUACCAUUUUUUUAAUUCAUUCAUCCAAUAUUUGUUCUCGGGUCAUUGUCUAUUCUAUGAGCAAUAGGACCAUAAGCCCUCCAUGGAUCUAAUCGUGGGUACUACUUUUUAUUGUUACCCAACUGACAAUAUCCUAACGAGCUAUACAUGGUAGCUAUUAUAUUCAAGCUCCCUGAGUUUUUCCAUUCGACCUUUAAAUGUGUGUUAUUUGUGGUAGAUGUAUCAUUCAAAAGAGUAUUGGUCAAGAUCGUACAUUGCACGUGCAAACUUAGUAACUUACUAGGCAAAAACACUUAGUCACAGUCGGAUCUUUGUACUGCAAAAAAAUGAUAGUUGGAUAAUUCAUGAUAAACGUGUAUUGAUGGCAAAAACAUUUAGCUAUCUAUACUUGCACUUAAUUUUUGGGUUAAUUGUAAAAAUUGGGGGGGGGGGGGGGGGGGGCGGGCAUGGUUCACCUAUAAAGAGGUAGCGUUUCAGACUCUCGCAUGAUGACAUACAGAAAAGUGUCUAGCUUUGUUGCAAGUCAGUUAAAUUUCAGGUUUCUUCUAGCGCUUCCGAUAAACAUGAGGAAGGACUCCCCACAAAAAAAAUUGAGAAGGAUUACUAUUGUUGUUCAUGGGAAAUUAUCUUCCUUCGACAUACACAGGCACUCAUGCAACCAUGAAAUUAUCUCUCUGACAAAGUACAUAUGUCAGCACGAGAAGUAUCUUUCUUAGGUGUGCAUUCGAAGUCUCUACUUAAUAAUGUUUUUUUAUGUCCCAACCUGAAUGAUGAGAGUCCGCAAGUGAAUUUUAUAAUAAUCCAUUUUAUAUUCUACUUACAAGUUCAAACAAUAACCCUAAUUUAUCAUGUAGUAAAUUAGUUGUACUACAUAUACUCCAUUUUUCUUAUGUACCUAGCUUGCUCAAUUUAAAUAAAGGACACCAUUUUGUUAAUUUUCUUGAGCUUUGAAAUCUAGAUUUAUUUGAUGGAAUAUGUUGCAAAUAAGAUAGGAAUGUGGAGGCGAAUGGAGUGAGUGCAAUAGGGGACAAGAUUGAUGGCGGGGAGAAGAGGUGCCACCCAAUGCUAUGGAGGGCCGGGAGAGUAUCAAGGGAAGUGAGGCUGUAGGGACAGGAGCGGAUGGGCUCCGCCAGUGGCGUGGAGAGGAGUGUUGCUGCCGUGGAGGGGAGAGGAGCUUGCGGUGAAGUUGUCGAGGGAAGGGAGGCGGCAAAAUUGAUGAAUCAUUUCAUGUUCGUUUUGCAGUAAUUUGUACAUAUUUAAGUUGAAGGGCCACCAUCUUACUAACAUAGGUCAAAAGGAUUUUGUUUGCCCACAUCCAGGUUGUGCUAAGGUAGGGAUUCACUAAGUUUCCAUUUGUAUAUAUUUAAGUUGAAGGGCCACCAUCUUACUAACACAGGUCAAAAGGAUUUUGUCUGCCCACAUCCAGGUUGUGCUAAGGUAGGGAUCACUAAGUUUCCAUUGCAUGAAAACAUAUUUGCUCCUAAUUCUCACCAUACAUCUUGAGUUCAUAGCUGCAGUGUUCUUCUAUCUAAUGAUGCUAUCAAUUGUACCCUGCCUAAUAUGUUUCAUUGAUUUGAUUAGAUGAAAUAGCAUGCCAAUUCUAUCUAACUGAAGAUGUUUCACUGAUUUGAUUACAUAUACUUUCCUCUGACGGGUGAUGGUGAUUCCCAACUCCUCCUGGACCUGUUUAUUGAUGGCUAUUUUUAAAGAAUCAUGAUGUGAUAUCGUCCUUUCAUUUGUUUCAUGGAUCUUUAUUGCAGCGGUUCAAGAACCUCGAAGAUGGCUACCUCUCCUUCCUCAAGAUCGUGGCGAGAACAAGAGGAUCAAAGUUGAAGAUACAUCAGCCACUGCAUAUGGCGAGGGGGCUGGAGAAGAAGUGACCAAUACAACAUGAUGGGGGGCUUGUCGAUGAUGGACGAGAUGGUCUUGAUUCGGAGAAAAACAAGGACGACAACACAACAACGCAGGGGUUAAAGAGAGUAAGAGAAACAUGAGGGCAGGGGGACUUGAUGUUCCCGAUGGUUUGCGUGCUUCGCUGUUGUGUGUUUGUGCUUGAUGUGUUUGCAAAGGCACCUGAUUUUGUAUUGGCACAUCUAAAAGUUUUUAAAUUUUGUUUAGUAAAUUGGCCA
Aegilops tauschii subsp. strangulata is the source of this 4807-nucleotide long non-coding RNA. RefSeq lists it as uncharacterized. Lineage: Eukaryota; Viridiplantae; Streptophyta; Magnoliopsida; Poales; Poaceae. The record is from RefSeq and is a predicted model, not a curated record.